GGGGAGGUAGCUCAGUGGUAGAGCACUUGCCUAGAAUGCAUGAGGCCCUGGGUUCUUCCCCA
RNAcentral lists this transfer RNA (62 nucleotides) under Neotoma lepida (desert woodrat). It matches the Rfam family "tRNA". Rfam says of the family: Transfer RNA (tRNA) molecules are approximately 80 nucleotides in length. Their secondary structure includes four short double-helical elements and three loops (D, anti-codon, and T loops). Further hydrogen bonds mediate the characteristic L-shaped molecular structure. tRNAs have two regions of fundamental functional importance: the anti-codon, which is responsible for specific mRNA codon recognition, and the 3' end, to which the tRNAs corresponding amino acid is attached (by aminoacyl-tRNA synthetases). tRNAs cope with the degeneracy of the genetic code in two manners: having more than one tRNA (with a specific anti-codon) for a particular amino acid; and 'wobble' base-pairing, i.e. permitting non-standard base-pairing at the 3rd anti-codon position. The record is from Rfam by way of RNAcentral. Lineage: Eukaryota; Metazoa; Chordata; Mammalia; Rodentia; Cricetidae.